Molecule: long non-coding RNA, 570 nt
Filed under: Homo sapiens (human)
Lineage: Eukaryota; Metazoa; Chordata; Mammalia; Primates; Hominidae
Description: non-protein coding lnc-SCRN3-1:3
Source: RNAcentral
CCGGCCCCGCCCUGCCGGCUGGGAGCCUCCCAGCCGCGAUCCUCCGGGGCGGGACUUCCGGCUUCCCUGCUCCCACAAAAUGGUAGCCGCCGUGGGGGAUGUCCAGUUUUUUUUCCUCUUCCCAAGUACAGACGCAGAGCAGACUUGUCUUUCCGCUUAACCUCAACCUCGUGUGAUCUGCCAGUUUCGCUCCCGACGCCAAAUUCCAGCGAAACAGCUGAUGCCAGCCAGCUUGAAGACCCCUGCCACAGAAGAAGGGAAUCAGCAUGAGAAUACAGCUUCUUCAUCUCGCUGUCCCAUGACUUCGCCCUGUACUCUUCAGCCAAUUAAUGAUCUCCACACUUGGGACCACUCUAAAACCCUUAAGAACCUGAGACUCAAAGUCCUCCUGGAGACGAAUUUGAGGUUUCCUCCUAUCUGUGUUUGGUGGCCCUAUGAUUAAACCUCUUUCUCUUCUGCAACCUGGUGUCCCAGUGUAUUAACUUGCCAUGGGCAUCAGACAACAAACCUAUAUAUAGUAUCCCAAAUAUGGUGCUCCACUUUGAAACCUGAAGAAAUCCUGCAAUUGAG